This 96-nucleotide ribosomal RNA is filed under the name Acanthosepion pharaonis. The record is from RNAcentral. Lineage: Eukaryota; Metazoa; Mollusca; Cephalopoda; Sepiida; Sepiidae.
UGAAAUAUCGAUUCUCGUAGGAUCACCGAAGUUAAGCAACGUCGAACCUGGUCAGUAACUAGAUUGGUGACCGCUUGGGAAUACAAGGUGUUGUAU